RNAcentral lists this transfer RNA (74 nucleotides) under Marmota monax (woodchuck). RNAcentral describes it as "tRNA.Ala". It matches the Rfam family "tRNA", at positions 1 to 62 of the family's 71-position model. Rfam says of the family: Transfer RNA (tRNA) molecules are approximately 80 nucleotides in length. Their secondary structure includes four short double-helical elements and three loops (D, anti-codon, and T loops). Further hydrogen bonds mediate the characteristic L-shaped molecular structure. tRNAs have two regions of fundamental functional importance: the anti-codon, which is responsible for specific mRNA codon recognition, and the 3' end, to which the tRNAs corresponding amino acid is attached (by aminoacyl-tRNA synthetases). tRNAs cope with the degeneracy of the genetic code in two manners: having more than one tRNA (with a specific anti-codon) for a particular amino acid; and 'wobble' base-pairing, i.e. permitting non-standard base-pairing at the 3rd anti-codon position. Lineage: Eukaryota; Metazoa; Chordata; Mammalia; Rodentia; Sciuridae. The record is from RNAcentral.
GGGGAUAUGACUCAGUGGUAAAGUGCUUGCCUGGCAUGCAUGAGGUUCUGGGUUAAAAUCCCCAAACACCCCCA